This is a long non-coding RNA of Bos taurus (domestic cattle), 447 nucleotides long. The record is from Ensembl. Lineage: Eukaryota; Metazoa; Chordata; Mammalia; Artiodactyla; Bovidae.
GGAAACAAUUAGCCUGGGCCCUUAAACGUGUGGAGGCGGGGCUGGCGGCAGGCCCCAGUUCCUCCCUUGAUUAAAAUAGACCAAGCUGGGCUCAAGUGGCUCAGUUCAUCCAGCCUUCACCUUUAGGGGCCACCCACGCCUCCUCCCAAGAUGACUGCCAAGCCCUUUCCUCUGAAUUCCUCAUGGAGUGCCUGGCUUUCUUUUCAAGAGGAACAGCCCUUCUGCCUCUGAAGUGGGGCCCAGAGACCCAGGAUGCUGUGCAGAUCAGUUGGAGAGAGGCUUGAACUAGCAGACUUCCACCUCCCCAACCCCAGGAGCUGUCAACCUCAUCGGUGGCCCAGCCGUCUCAGAGAGGAGGGAGAUUAGCCAAGGAAGGAGGGAACAACCCAGACCCUUGGCCUUUGCCUCCUACUCCCUCACCCCGCCCCCACCCCUGCAUCCCAAAGG